RNAcentral lists this long non-coding RNA (3433 nucleotides) under Sus scrofa (pig). Its description in RNAcentral is "lncRNA (ENSSSCG00000053665.1)". Lineage: Eukaryota; Metazoa; Chordata; Mammalia; Artiodactyla; Suidae. The record is from RNAcentral.
GAGUGGACAGAUGCUUGUUGGAGCUUACGAUAAAAUUUUAUUUACAAAAGCUGGCACCAGUCCGUGGUCAUAGUUCGCUGGUCUGAGUUUUUAAAAUAUUGCCAUAAAUGCUAUUUAUCUCGUUUAGUUAGAUUUUUGGCGCUCCACACAUUUUGCACUCAAGACAGCUGCCUUGCUCUAGUCUGGGGCCUGACUCUGUUCCCUCCAUCUACCCAUCCUGGAGAUGGAAAAGACCUGAGGCAUCUGGCCACUAAGGCAUAACCCGUGUCUUUCUGGAACCUUGUUUUAGCUCAUCAUACUUGUUACCAGCCUGAGCAGGAAAUGAACUCAGAUUCAGCAGCUUGUGGCUCAAAAGUCAAUUUUGGAGAGACGAGGUUUGGUGGAAAAAGGAAGAUGUUUUAUUCAGGGAGUGGCAAACUGGGGAGAUGGUGAACCAAAGCCAUCUCCCAGUUGCCAAAUCAGAGGGCAAGAGUUUUUAAAGGAUGUGUGGGAGGUGGGUUGGGGGGUGGUGGUGGUGGUGAUGGUCUAUGUGAAGACCUGAUUGGCUCCAACAAUCACCUUGAAACUGCUCCUGCAGUGGUCUGGUCAGCAUCAUCCUGACUGUUUUAAAGUGCAGUUAAUCUUCAACUUCAGGGCUGGUUUGUUGCUCUUUUCUUGAGGCCAGUUCCUGGAAUUAUGCUUGCCAUAAAUUCAGUACUGCUCAAGAUGGAGCAGUUUAUGUCAUGGCUACCGUUUGGUCAUCAUGCUUUUUCUCUCUGGUGACGGUUAAAGCAACGGAGGAACAGGUCUCAGAUGCUAUUAUCUAUGUCCUUCAGGGAGGAACUAAAGAUUCUGUGACUGCUAUAUGGCUGAUUUCCUGUUUAAAUUGUUACCAGUUCUCUAGGCCUAAUUGCUAUUUUUGUCACUACAUGGCUACAUUCUUUCAAUCAUUAAUUCUUGAGCCAGAUUUUUGUGACUCCUGGUAGGCCCCUAAGAGACUAAAGCCUUUUUCUACAAAUAAAAACAAGAGACACAGAAGGGCUUUAGUACCUGGGAGGGUACUGCAGGGUCCUCUCUGUUUCAAACCUACUAAAAUUUGUGUAAAAUAUUUGCAUAUACCAAAAAAGGUAUACAAAAUAAUAUAGUGGACAUUUGUUUAUCUACUACUCAGAUUGGAGAUGUAACUUCACUGUACAGUUCAGCUUCAUUUUAAAAGCCCCUCAAUAUUGAGAAGUGUUUCUGGUGGGAGGGACUGUGUUCCUGCUGUUUGACUUCACUUCUAAGGUAAUGGAAGCCAACUAAAAUACUGUGUGGCUGAGGACAUCUGGGUGUUGUGAAAAGGGUUUGGAUGACCCUUAUAAUAAGUGACCGGAGCUAGGCUUAGAUGCCUCAUUGUAUGAUCUCUGCUAAAUCACCUUACAUCUUUCAGCCUCAGUUUCCCUGGAAGUCAAUUGGGAACAAUAAUACUUACCCCCUAAGAUGUAUGAGAAGACAAUAACUGUGAAAUGACCGCCCACAACUGUCAGGGAAUUUCAGCCAAAGUCUACCAGUAACGGAUAUGUAUUUAAAUAAGUUGGAUUUUUUACUGUUGAGCAAGGUAUCUUAGUAAGUGGAUGUAAGAAAGAAACUAAAACAGGAUUUUAGGCUUUGGUUAGAUGACUUGGGAGAGGGUCUCAGGGGGCAGGGUUUUGCUGUGAAUUGGAUGCUGUCAGAAAGUGGGGCGUUCUGUGAUGGGAUAUUUUGUAUGGUACAGUGACUGCAUUUUUGUCUAUGCUUAGACAAAAGCAUGAAGUGGCUUUGUGUUUCAUUUUAUCACGGCAUCAGAGGAAACAUGCCUUACUUUGUUUGGGCUGCCAUAACAAGUUAUCAUAAACAGGGUGGCUUAUAAACAAAUUUAUUGCACAUUGUUCAGGAGGCUGGGAAUUUCAAGAUCAGGGUGGUGGCAGGUUUGGUAUCUGGUGAGAGCCCACUUCCUGGGUCAUAGAUCUCUGCUUUUUGGAUCUGUCCUUACAUGGCAGAAGGAAUGAAGCAACCCUCACAGCCUCUUUUAUGAGGGCACUAAUCUCAUCGAUGAGGGCUCUGUCCUUAUGACCUAAUCAUCACCCAAAGGCUCCGCCUCCAUGUACCAUCACAUUAGAGCAUGGGUCAAGAGUCUGGCAAGCUCUCGGGCACUGGUGCAGAACAAGGCAGGUGAGAGGCACGAAACUGCUCUGCAUUCCAGAGAGUGGGAGAGAAAAUACACACAGAAUAUUGUUGGAAGAAGAGCUCUUGCAGACUGUCGGAAUAGUCAAACAGAUGAGAGGACAUUUGAUCUGCUUUGGAAGGAAGGGUAAAUGUGGUGUUUGGAAAGGAGAGUGAAAAGCAUUCAAAAGCAUUCUAGCACACCCAGGGUAGGAAAGGGGGCCAGCACAGGGAAGUAUGGGUGGAGAUGUUGAGGUAAUAUUAAGAUAAAUGGAUUAAAAAAAACACCCCAUCCCUUUCCUGGGCAAUAAAAGCAUUUUGAUGCUAAAAGUCUUCCAUCCUAGAGGUCAUGAAAUUCAGCUGGCCACUUCUACUUAGGGGAAGUGACUUGUUUGAGGAAAAGCAAAUUUGUUUGUUUCUAGGGUUGUCAGAGAGCACACUGGGAAUCAGUUUUUUUUGUUUUGUUCUUUUCAUUUUUGUCCACCCCUCAGCAUAUGGAGUUCCUGGGUCAGGGAACAGAUCCGAACCCAGUGAUGACCUAAGCUGCAGCUGUGGGCAAUGCCGGAUCCUUAACCCGCUGUGCUGGGCUGGGGAUUGAACCCGUGUUUCAGUGCUCCCAAGACGCUGCCUAUUCCCUUGUGCCACAGUGGGACCUCCACACACUGGGAAUUAGGAUGUGUGUUGAGAUGGAGGCUGGGAAAGAAAAAAGGUAAAAGUGUUUAUUCUGAGCUGCCUGUCCCUAGCUCAAUUCUGUGAUCUAUACAGCAUCUUCUCAAUUGUGUGGUGAAUUAACUUGUUAAAGGGACCCUUAUUUAGAACUUUUGUGAAGGCUUUUUUUUUUUUUUUUUUUUUUUUUUUUUUCCUUUUCUAGGGCCGCUCCCGCAGCCUAUGGAGUUUCCCAGGCUAGGGGUCCAAUCGGAGCUGUUGCUGCCGGCCUAUGCCAGAGCCACAGCACUGCAGGAUCCGAGCCGCGUCUGCAACCUACACCACAGCUCACGGUAACGCCGGAUCCCCAACCCACUGAGCAAGGCCAAGGAUCGAACCUGAAACCUCAUGGUUUCUAGUCGGAUUCGUUAACCACUGUGCCACGAUGGGAACUCCUGUGAAGACCUUUUUGAAAGUCUUAGGAAUCACCUUCUCUUGGACCUACUUACUCCACAGAAAACAAUUUCUUAUUUCCUCAGAAUGGAAUCACUCUCUUGUUUUGGCCAAGAUGAUGUGGGGCCUUUUAGUGUUAUUCCCAGCUCCUCCCUGGAGUUGAAGGGUUGGGAUU